Molecule: non-coding RNA, 654 nt
Organism: Labrus bergylta (ballan wrasse)
Lineage: Eukaryota; Metazoa; Chordata; Actinopteri; Labriformes; Labridae
Source: RefSeq, a predicted model, not a curated record
CACAACAACACGUUUGGCUGCGGUACCGGAUUGCUUUCGUGUUUUGUCGGAAAUCCGUUUUGAUGUAAUUCUUCACGGUUAUUUCUUCCCUGUUGCGUUACGGCGCUGACGAGGGGUUAGCUCAGCAUAGCGUUACGUUACCCCACUCAUGCAGGAGGAAAUUAACUCGUGCGGUUUAACAGCAGGUGCACGGGGAUACCGCAACACCUGCCGCUACAGGCUGAGUCACUGCUGGUGAGGAGGAAGGUCUGGAGAGGGAACGAGAGAGGAGGUGGAGGAGGUGGUGGAGGAGAAGGGGGAGAAGACGAAGAAAAAAAGGAGGGAUUGGAGGGAGAUAAUCAACAACAGGAAGCAAAACCACACAGCGCUUACACAUACACUCUGCGUGUUUGUGUGUCUGAAAGGGAGACUGCGCGAACGAGAGGGUGAACGGGAAAGGAAGGAAGGGAGGGAGAGUGACGCGGAGGCUGGGAGAGCCGCUCCCCCCUCCUCCUCCUCCUCUCCUCCUCUCCCUCUCUUUCUCUCCUCUCCUCCCCUCCUCCCUCUCUCUCUCUGUGGAGCAGGCGUGUAGCGGCAUCAGACUCGGCGUGAAGGAACCAUGAGCGAUGUCACCAUCGUUAGAGAGGGAUGGCUCCAGAAACGGGGUAAGUACAU